CUCAGUCUCAGAGAUCAGAGGCUUAAAGAAAAAGAUACAUUAAAAUCUGCAAAGGAAAGAGAAGCCUCUUUUCUGCCUAAUCUUCCAAUAUAACACCCAGCUAAGACCACCUUAUUGAUUGAAACCAACUUCAUCAACUCUUCCAUUAAAGCUAGACUGGACUUAAUGCAGUGAAUGAGACUGUCUAUAUGACAAGUCCAUUUCCUCACAUAACUGUGUAAUGGAUAAACCUGAGAAACAGACAUAGGUAUGGAGUGUCUCUAAGGAAUGCUAAGGAUCUGAGAUUUGAAGAAUUUCCAUGCACACAUGAACCUAUGCAGCACAUGAACUGAUUAGUGCUAAGAGUAACUCAGGACAAAUGUUACAAAUGUCAACAGUGUGGACACUAUUGAGCUUGAUCUUAAAUAAAGAUGCCCAGAAUUCCUAUCACAAACAUUUUUCAGAACAUGUACAACAUGAAGGGGCUGCUACAUGAUUAC
Molecule: long non-coding RNA, 479 nt
Filed under: Homo sapiens (human)
Lineage: Eukaryota; Metazoa; Chordata; Mammalia; Primates; Hominidae
Description: non-protein coding lnc-RFPL4B-6:1
Source: RNAcentral